UCCGUUCUGAGCCCUCCCCUCGCACCGCGGGCCCGCCGUUCCCGCCUUGCCCCUCACGGAGCGCGGCUCCGAGCCCUGAGGGGGGAGCGAGGCUCCCUAAGCGAAAGCGCCCGGAGCACAGCGCGCAGACCGCGGGCUCGACUCUGCCUCCCCCACCUCAGCCUUUUCACCCAGACAACAUCUUUAAUUUAAACAGAAAUUAAUCUCCGGCCCAGAUAGGCCGGGAUUUGGCUCACCUGCGGCGCCCGUCGCCUGGACCCGGAGGAGGCAGCAAACCGAGUAAGGAGUGUGUCAGGGACUACAAGAACAUUCCCAUUCCCUGUGUUUCUACGUGAAAUGCAUUUCUAGCCACACCCAUAAGGAACUUGUCUCUCCCGACAGUACACAGUGGGACCUUUCUCUAGGUAA
This is a non-coding RNA of Lonchura striata (white-rumped munia), 408 nucleotides long. Lineage: Eukaryota; Metazoa; Chordata; Aves; Passeriformes; Estrildidae. The record is from RefSeq and is a predicted model, not a curated record.